UGAGUAACACGUGAGUGACCGGCCUUUUAGACUGGAACAACUUACCGAAAGGUGAGCUAAUGCCGGAUGAGUUAUAUAAGUGCAUGUUUAUAUAGGAAAAGUUGGGGAGACCUGACGCUGAAAGAUGGACUCGCGUCCCAUUAGCUAGUUGGUAGGGUAAUGGCCUACCAAGGCGACGAUGGGUAGCCGGCCUGAGAGGGUGGCCGGCCACACUGGGACUGAGACACGGCCCAGACUCCUACGGGAGGCAGCAG
Molecule: ribosomal RNA, 254 nt
Filed under: uncultured bacterium
Lineage: Bacteria
Description: partial 16S ribosomal RNA
Rfam family: Bacterial small subunit ribosomal RNA
Source: RNAcentral